Molecule: long non-coding RNA, 859 nt
Organism: Bubalus bubalis (water buffalo)
Lineage: Eukaryota; Metazoa; Chordata; Mammalia; Artiodactyla; Bovidae
Exons: 3
Source: RefSeq, a predicted model, not a curated record
AAGCUGUGUAAAUGGGACUUGUGUAAGAGUCAGCGUCUCAGGGCUGUAGGUGAAGAAAAUGUCAAGUCCAUGUCCUCCUGGAGCUCUUUCUGGGGAGCUGCAGUUAUAUAUGAAGGAAAGAGAGUUGAUGCUAUGGGGCUUUCUCAAGGUCACUCUGGUGUAAGUGGUGGAGCUGAGCUUCAAGCCCUGUCUUCCCAGCUCCGAGUUCCCCUGUGUGGUGAUAAGUUGGUUGUUCUGGAAGUGGAUGGAGCUACUGUGUGAUCUGAGAGCAUGGGAUGUCCAGAGCUUUCAGUCAGCAUCUGCCUGGAGAUGUCAGAGAAGUCUUCUCUAGAGCCGGUAUCCAGGAGGAAUUUGCGGAUCAGAUGGCAGGCAGGAGUUCGGAAGCAACAGUAAGAGGACUCAGCAUGAGGACAAAAUUGGAAGGGAGACUCGUGGGCCCAUAUCAGAGACUCGAAGGAAAAGAGAAGAUGCUGGGAGGGCAACCUCGACCCUCUAGCUCCUUAUCCCAGCGGGAAGUAGAACGCCUAGCGGGCAGCGGGCACACUGCCUCCUUCCAGAGGCCACAGACCUUCGAGUUUGCAGUGUGGGCUCUCUUCCAGGCUCCUGGUCUCCAAAGUUCUCCUGUGCCCUGUGAGUGCUCCCCAGAGCCCACAGAGCUAACCCUGACAGCCUACUGAGAGCCCCCUUCCUGCUAGUUCUGGGUCCAUCAUAUUUCUACAACAGCCUUCCAACAUUUUUUAUUGAAUAUAUGAACGAAUAAGAAUUUUCCAGUACUCAAUUCCAAUAUAUGUUAAUUUCCUUAUAAAUGGAAAUAUGUUAAAACACAUGAAAUUAUAAAUAAAUCUAUAGAAUAUUGAAA